ACCCAGAGGCUCAAACUCGAGACCUCUGGUUAAGGAUGAAGGAGUACUUACCAGUUACCACUCCACCACAACCCUUGAUACACAAGAGCUAAUUUUCGAUGUUGACGUACGUACGGUGCGACGAUGAAAUCCCGUCAUACUUAACUAAAGGUAUCGAGUUUGCGCAGAUAAUAGAGAAACUCCUUGUAUGAGUGCUUCUCACUUUAACGAGUUCUAUGUGAAUUUGAGUUUAUUGAACUAGUGAGUUUCAGAGAUUAGGUGGUUGAACAUAAAUGGAGAGAACAUUAGAUGCAUGCUUAUUGUGCAGAAUAUUCUACCUUUAAGACUAUAUUCUAAACUUUUUUUUACAGGCAAGUUUCUUUUCACAAAAAAUAAAAAGAUGAAUUAAUAUA
Molecule: long non-coding RNA, 392 nt
Organism: Nicotiana attenuata
Lineage: Eukaryota; Viridiplantae; Streptophyta; Magnoliopsida; Solanales; Solanaceae
Exons: 2
Source: RefSeq, a predicted model, not a curated record